UACGAGGGUGCAAGCGUUAAUCGGAAUUACUGGGCGUAAGCGUACGCAGGCGGUUUGUUAAGCGAGAUGUGAAAGCCCCGGGCUCAACCUGGGAACUGCAUUUUCGAACUGGCAAACUAGAGUCUUGUAGAGGGGGUAGAAUUUCAGGUGUAGCGGUGAAAUGCGUAGAGAUCUGAAGGAAUACCGGUGGCGAAGGCGGCCCCUGGACAAAGACUGACGCUCAGGUACGAAAGCGUGGGGAGCAAACAGGAUUAGAUACCCGCGUAGU
RNAcentral lists this ribosomal RNA (268 nucleotides) under uncultured bacterium. RNAcentral's name for it is "partial 16S ribosomal RNA". It matches the Rfam family "Bacterial small subunit ribosomal RNA", at positions 524 to 794 of the family's 1533-position model. The record is from RNAcentral.